ACGUGCGAUAGCAAUUUUCAUCUGCUUUGUGGCAUCAUUAUAUAUAUAUAUAUAUAUAUAUAUAUAUAUAUAUAUAUAUAUAUAUAUAUAUAUAUAUAUAUAUAUAUAUAUAUAUAUUUAGCUCCCAUGGCUUUAUGAGAUGCUUUGGACGUGCAUUGAAUCCACUGUUUCAGAGUCAGACUGGUGGAAAACUUGCGCAGUCGGCUGGGGAAGUACAGGCGCUACUCCAUAAGGACUCGGUGGUGAUUUCUCGCUUCCUUUCCAACCGCUGGUUUCAAAGAGCUUGUUCGACCUUGACAACUCGUUCGUUGCGGUUUCCGGUGCAGCAUGUGUGGCAGUGCAAGCAAAGACAAUUCUCUCAGAGGAUACAGUGACGUCACCACUUGUUUGCUCUUCCCAUUCAUUGGAGUGGGCAUCCCUUCGUUACAGCAGCAGAUGAAGAUGGCGUGGAUUGUGCAGCUCUUCGGCGGGAUUGCAGUAUCUAUCGAAGAUGUCGCUGCAGAUUCACACGGCCGGGUGAAACAUGCGCUUGAAACAGAAGGCAUCGAU
This is a long non-coding RNA of Portunus trituberculatus (swimming crab), 549 nucleotides long. RefSeq lists it as uncharacterized. The transcript has 4 exons. Lineage: Eukaryota; Metazoa; Arthropoda; Malacostraca; Decapoda; Portunidae. The record is from RefSeq and is a predicted model, not a curated record.